RNAcentral lists this ribosomal RNA (397 nucleotides) under uncultured Rhizophagus. RNAcentral describes it as "partial 28S ribosomal RNA". The record is from RNAcentral. Lineage: Eukaryota; Fungi; Glomeromycota; Glomeromycetes; Glomerales; Glomeraceae.
GUGAAAUUGUUGAAAGGGAAACGAUUGAAGCCAGUCGUACCUUCGGGUAAUCAGCCUUUCGGGUGCGAUUCUGUGGAGUUUGAGGAGCUUAACACCUUCAUGCUUUGCAUAUUCGUGCUCUUGGGUGUACUUGCCCGUGUGGUUGGUUAACAUCAAUUUCGGGCACCAUAAAAUGGCUGGAGGAAUGUAGCUUCGAUCUUGUAUUGAAGUGUUAUAGCCCUUGGUAGAUGUGAUGUCUGGGAUCGAGGUUUGCAACGGAUACCCUUCGGGGCUAACCGCCUGAUCUCUAAUUGGUGUUAGGUUACGGACAGCAUGCUGACCGUGAUCUAAUUACUGGUUAAAAGGUUAGAGCGUGUAUAAAUUCGUUAAGGACGCUGACGUAAUGGCUUUAAACGAC